Molecule: ribosomal RNA, 353 nt
Filed under: Termitomyces sp.
Lineage: Eukaryota; Fungi; Basidiomycota; Agaricomycetes; Agaricales; Lyophyllaceae
Description: partial small subunit ribosomal RNA
Rfam family: Bacterial small subunit ribosomal RNA
Source: RNAcentral
CGUUAGUCGUCCUAAUCAGGCGUAAAGGGUGUGUAGGCUGCUUUCAAAGUCAUAUCUUUCAAAUAGCUCUUAUAACGAAGAUCUGUUUAAAGGCAUAAYACUUUAAAUAUCUUCAUUCUAAGGKAAAGAUAGGAUGAAUAAAAGCUAGAAUCAAAACGAGGAUAAGCCAAAUAAUACUUAGAGUAGGGUCGAUAUCCGUAGAUACUAAGUGGAAUAUUAAAAGUGAAAACUAUUUAUCUAGAAAUGAUUGACGCUGAGAAACGAAGGUGAGAAUAGGAAAUAGGAUUAGAUACCCAGAUACCUCUCACUGUCAACGAUGAAUGGUGGUUUGUUAGUUUGWAGARAAACUAGUA